CCCCUACGGGGGGCAGCAGUAGGGAAUCUUCCACAAUGGACGAAAGUCUGAUGGAGCAACGCCGCGUGAGUGAAGAAGGGUUUCGGCUCGUAAAGCCCUGUUGGUAGAGAAGAAAGAUAGAGGGAGUAACUGGCCUUUUUUUGACGGUAAUUACUUAGAAAGUCACGGCUAACUACGUGCCAGCAGCCGCGGUAAUACGUAGGUGGCAAGCGUUGUCCGGAUUUAUUGGGCGUAAAGCGAGUGCAGGCGGUUUUAUAAGUCUGAUGUGAAAGCCUUCGGCUUAACCGGAGAAUUGCAUUAGAAAA
Molecule: ribosomal RNA, 305 nt
Filed under: uncultured bacterium
Lineage: Bacteria
Description: bacterial SSU rRNA
Rfam family: Bacterial small subunit ribosomal RNA
Source: RNAcentral